AUUGAACGCUGGCGGCAUGCCUUACACAUGCAAGUCGAACGGCAGCACGGUGGCAACCCUGGUGGCGAGUGGCGAACGGGUGAGUAAAGCAUCGGAACGUGCCCAAUAGUGGGGGGAUAGCCCGGCGAAAGCCGGAUUAAUACCGCAUACGACCUGAGGGUGAAAGCGGGGGAUCGCAAGACCUCGCGCUACUGGAGCGGCCGAUGUCAGAUUAGGUAGUUGGUGGGGUAAAGGCCUACCAAGCCUGCGAUCUGUAGCUGGUCUGAGAGGACGACCAGCCACACUGGGACUGAGACACGGCCCAGACUCCUACGGGAGGCAGCAGUGGGGAAUUUUGGACAAUGGGCGCAAGCCUGAUCCAGCCAUGCCGCGUGCGGGAAGAAGGCC
RNAcentral lists this ribosomal RNA (387 nucleotides) under uncultured bacterium. Its description in RNAcentral is "bacterial SSU rRNA". It matches the Rfam family "Bacterial small subunit ribosomal RNA", at positions 29 to 416 of the family's 1533-position model. The record is from RNAcentral.